Molecule: transfer RNA, 71 nt
Filed under: Loxodonta africana (African savanna elephant)
Lineage: Eukaryota; Metazoa; Chordata; Mammalia; Proboscidea; Elephantidae
Rfam family: tRNA
About the family: Transfer RNA (tRNA) molecules are approximately 80 nucleotides in length. Their secondary structure includes four short double-helical elements and three loops (D, anti-codon, and T loops).
Source: Rfam by way of RNAcentral
ACAUCAGUGGCUCACUGGUAGAACUUCUGCUUCCCAUGCGGGAGGCCUGGGUUUGAUUCCUGGUCGGUGUA